Molecule: long non-coding RNA, 2440 nt
Filed under: Sus scrofa (pig)
Lineage: Eukaryota; Metazoa; Chordata; Mammalia; Artiodactyla; Suidae
Description: lncRNA (ENSSSCG00025076010.1)
Source: RNAcentral
GUCUGUCUAGAAUUCCAAAGGCAAAUGACUCAAGGUAACAGGAAAAAAGAAAAUCCAGUAUCAGGAUAAUCAGAACACCACAGGUUUACAGUUUGUAGAAACUAGAACACGAGCAGCUCUCACUUAAGGUCUGUGAUGGAACUCCAGUGGAGAAAAUGUUUUUUUCUAAGACUUUCCACAGAUGCUAUAGUACUAUUGACAAACUGAGUUAGAGAAGGAUUGUACUGCUAUGCUGUUGGAGUAUUCCCAGUGAAGCUGAAAUAUACAGCACAGUGCAGCUUUGGUUCAUAUUCAGUCAUCUCAGGAGAACUUCAGAAGAGCUUGACUAGGCCAAAUAUUGAAGUUAAGUUUUCAAAUAAUGGAACUUUUUAAGAUGCCUUUUAAAGGGGAGGGGCAAGUUUUGGCAAUUAGUUGGCAGUGGCCUGUUUUGGUUGGGGUUGGGUGGGUUGGGUUUAGGUAAUUGUUUAGUUUAUGAUUUCAGAUAACUCAUGCCAGAGAACUUAAAUACUUAGGAUGGAAAAACUAAAGAAAUCUCACCUCCCAAGUUGGCAAGUAACUCCUGAUCCUCUAGUUUCUUGUUUUACCCCAAUUUUUGAACUGGACAGCUGGGAACUUCAAAGAUUCACUGGAUUUAAAGUGUAGGGCUUGGGAAAGGAAAGUGUUGGAUUGGGGGUUGGUCUAGCCCACUGGGUUGACCAAGAUAAAAACUUGGGGAAUUGUUUAAACACUAAAGUUGUUUGGAUAUGGUAGUGUGUGGUUCUCUUUUGGAAUUUUUUUCAGGUGAUUUAAUAAAACUUAAUACUACUAUAGGAGCUUCAGAGCAAAGGAAGUGGCUUAAUGAUCCUGAAGGGAUUUCUUCUGAUGGUAGCUUUUAUAUUAUCAAACUUUUUUCAGAUAACAUCUUCUGAGUCAUACCCAGCCUGGCAAUAUGAUGGCCUAGAUGGAGAGGGGAACAGCUCCUUGGUGAAUGAUAAGUUUCUCAUUAUCAGAAGAGUUGCUUCAUAUCAUCUGGGAGCAGAAAACAGCAGGCAGCUGUUCACAGAUAAGUUUAACUUGCAUCUGCAGUAUUGCAUGUUAGGGAUAAGUGCUAUGUUUAAUAAGAGCUGUGGAGGUCCUAGGUCCCUUACUCAAGGGAUCUCAGGAUUUUGAGGAAUUUUCCCAUCCAGCCUUUUAAAAUGAGACAGGCCUUAUGCCUGUGGGCUUCCAUGAUGGGCUAACUCACUUCACUCGAGGCAAGUAAUUCCUUAAAGCCUCUUGAGAUUAAUACCUUAAUAAUCAAGGAUAAUGUUGAUAAAAUAAAAAUUUGUUUAGCAUUGAUUCUUGAAAACCCUAUGAAAAGAUAGCAUAAUGUGCUGUUAACCAGAAUCAGAUAUGUUAACCUUGCUAAAAUUUAAAUGUUAUGUGUAUUGUGCAGAAAACCGUAAAAUCACUCAAAAUAAAAUACUUUAUUUAGCGAAUGUAUGCUUUUAGAAAGCUGUCUCCUUAUUUAAAUAAAAUAUUGUUUGUCUGUAGUUAGUGUUGGGCAAUCUUGGGGGGAUUCUUCUCAUCUUUCAGAGACUUUGUCUGCGAACACUCUGUAAUGGACAAGAUCAGGAAUUGAGCUGAAGAACGAAUUUAACUUAAGGCAGGAAAGACAAAUUUUAUCCUUCGUAAAAUUGAUGACCAUUUAAUAAUUCCAGGCACAUGGCCAUAGAGACCCUCUAAAUAAAUAAGGAAUAAAUACUUAUUAGGCAGGUGGGAGAUUAUGAUCAGAAGAACAGGUAACUACACCUACGCAUUUUUCAGAAAGUCAGGAGUCGAAAUUGACAGUACUGAAGUAUAAUGCGGUCCACAUUUCCAAAGUUUGCAUGUUAAAUUGAAAUGCUUACCAUCUCAUCUAGUGUUAGCCAAUGCUUUACACUUAUUAGCCUUUUAUAUAGACACUUGGUGGGGGGCAUGUGGGUUUUUUAAAGAACUUUCCUUUGCAGAGGCUUCGUUUCAUCCUUCAUGAGGCUGUUCAGGAUUUUGACUUGCAUAUAAACGCUUGGCUCUGCCUUCUGUUCUCCUAGUGGGUGUGUGAGACCUUGCAGUGAGUUUUCAGCAUACUCAAGUAAAAAUUUUUUUCCCCCUGAUUUUGGAGGGAAGGGAGGAGAGGGUGGGGCUUACUUGUUUUUAGCUUUUUUUUUGCAGACUACACAGAAUGCAGUUGUCUUGACCUCAGGUCUGUCUGUUCUGUUGGCAAGUAAUAAUGCAGUACUGUUCUGACCUGCUGCUAUUAGAAUGCAUUGUGAAACGACUGGAGUAUGAUUAAAAGUUAUGUUUCCCCCAAUGCUUGGAGUAGUGAUUGUUGAAGGAAAAUCCACUGAGUGAUAAAAGGCUGAGUGUUGAGGAAAUUUCUGCAGCUUUAAGCAUUCAUGUUUGUGAUUGAAGCAGUCCUUUUUGCUGUGCUUUAGGUAAAAUG